This 296-nucleotide ribosomal RNA is filed under the name uncultured bacterium. Its description in RNAcentral is "partial 16S ribosomal RNA". It matches the Rfam family "Bacterial small subunit ribosomal RNA", at positions 775 to 1067 of the family's 1533-position model. The record is from RNAcentral.
GGAUUAGAUACCCUGGUAGUCCACGCCGUAAACGAUGGGUGCUAGGUGUCUCGGGUAUUGACCCCUGAGGUGCCGUAGCUAACGCGUUAAGCACCCCGCCUGGGAAGUACGGCCGCAAGGCUAAAACUCAAAGGAAUUGACGGGGGCCCGCACAAGCAGUGGAGCAUGUGGUUUAAUUCGACGCAACGCGCAGAACCUUACCCGGGCUAGAAAAGUACGGAACCCUUUAGAAAUAUCGGGGUGCUCGCAAGAGAGCCGUAAUCCAGGUGCUGCAUGGCUGUCGUCAGCUCGUGCUG